CCACAAUCAUGGAACCCAUCCGCCUCUCUCUCCUGCUCCUCUCCUUCCUCGCCGUCGCCGCCGCUGCCGAUUUCGUCUCCGAGGACCCCCUGAUCCAGCAGGUUGUUUCUGGCGCCUCCGAUGAUCUCGUCCUGAACGCCGACGCCCACUUCUCCAGCUUCCUCCGCCGAUUCGGGAAGAGCUAUGCCGAUGAGGCGGAGCACGCCCACCGAUUUUCCGUUUUCAAGGCCAAUCUCCGCCGCGCCAAGCGCCACCAGAGGCUGGACCCGACUGCCGUCCACGGCAUCACCCAGUUCUCGGAUCUGACCCCUGCCGAGUUCCGCCGCAGUCUCGGGCUUCACAGACGCAGAAAGUCGCCGGUCGGUGGGGCCAACGAGGCUCCGAUCUUACCGACGACUGACUUGCCGGCUGAUUUUGAUUGGAGGGAUCAUGGAGCUGUCACUGGUGUUAAGAAUCAGGGGUCAUGCGGAUCGUGCUGGUCUUUCAGUGCGGCGGCGGCUCUGGAAGGGGCGAAUUAUUUAGCUUCGGGGAAGCUUGUGAGCCUCAGCGAGCAGCAGCUUGUUGAUUGUGAUCAUGAGUGUGAUUCAACUGAACCUGACAGUUGUGACCAAGGAUGCAAUGGUGGACUGAUGACCAAUGCAUUUGAGUAUAUACAAAAGAAUGGUGGGCUCGAGACUGAGGUAGACUACCCUUACACUGGUUCGGAUCGCAGCACCUGCAAAUUCGACAAGUCUAAGAUUGUUGCCUCAGUAUCCAACUUCAGUAAUGUCGCCAUAGACGAAGAUCAGAUUGCCGCAAACCUUGUCAAGCAUGGCCCACUUGCAAUUGGCAUCAAUGCUGUCUUCAUGCAGACAUACAUUGGGGGUGUAUCAUGCCCAUACAUAUGUGGUAGGCAUUUGGAUCAUGGAGUGCUUCUGGUGGGCUAUGGCUCAGCCGGAUACGCACCGAUCCGUCUCAAGGAAAAGCCAUACUGGAUCAUCAAGAACUCUUGGGGUGAAACCUGGGGUGAGAAGGGCUACUACAAGAUCUGCAGGGGUCGCAAUGUUUGUGGGGUUGACUCCAUGGUCUCCACUGUGGCUGCCGUCCAUAGCUCACACCAGAUUGACUAGAUUUACUGUUCCAGUGCCUGUUACCAUGUUACUGUAGGCCUGGUUACUGUAGGCCUGGUGCAUGUAUUAUUGCCGCUUCGCCCGUUAUAUUCUGCAUGGUUACGGCUUAUGUGAACUUAGCGUGUAUUAUGUGUAUAAGUUGCUUGGUAUUAGGAAACUGCAUAAGAUUGUACAGUUCCCUCUGUUUCCCAUUUGACAGCGCAAAUCAUAUCUAUGUCAAC
This 1330-nucleotide unclassified non-coding RNA is filed under the name Hevea brasiliensis (rubber tree). Lineage: Eukaryota; Viridiplantae; Streptophyta; Magnoliopsida; Malpighiales; Euphorbiaceae. The record is from RNAcentral.